RNAcentral lists this transfer RNA (64 nucleotides) under Ascarosepion apama (giant Australian cuttlefish). RNAcentral describes it as "tRNA-Thr". Lineage: Eukaryota; Metazoa; Mollusca; Cephalopoda; Sepiida; Sepiidae. The record is from RNAcentral.
GUUAUAAUAGUUUAUAUUAAAACGUUGAUUUUGUAAAUCAAAAUAAGAAUACUUCUUUAUAACU